UAGAUGGCCUUAACGAGCUAUAGAGGGCAUUAACUGGAACAUCGAGAAAAGUAUUAAUAUGACAUCGCUAGCACGAUAAUGACACUGAGGAGAAGACUUGAGGCUUUAAAUACAAGAUUUAAUGCAUUAGUACAAAAUCGAUUAAGAAAUGAAGACGAAGACAACAAUUUGUCAACACAACACAACACAAUUGACAGACUGAGAAUGUUCCAAAGCAACAUCCCCAAUGAAGUCUCAGCCACGACUAGGAGACGAGCUGCUAGGCAGAGCAUCAUUAGGAUUUCUUUCAUUGAAAAUAGUGGGGAGCAUCUAAUCACAACACAACGUACAACGGUUAAAAAACUAGUUGUACCAUUUUCAAUGGAUGAGAGAGCAUUUCACCAGAAAAUUAGGGAAGCUUUUCCAAUAAUAGGAGAGGGUGAAAUUGAAAUCUGCAGAGUUGACAGGAGGCGAAGGGUAAUACCUGUUGAGUUGAGUUCAGUUUGCCCUGCAGCUAUAAAAGCAUGCCCAGAGUUUGGCAGGUCAGCUGUAUAUGUGAGGCUUAAGGUAAGAACAACAAAUUAUUCUACCAAAUGUAUAUCCCAAAUUAAUUUUUAUGCUAUAAAAACAAACAUGUUCUUUUUCUUUGCUGAUCCUGCAUUGCUUUUACUGGGAUGCUAUUACUAUUAUUACUAUUAAUAUUCAAUUAAAAAGAAAACUGUUGUUUGAAAGACUAGUCACCCUGUAUUUAAGCCAUGUGUUUGCACUGCCACAUUGUGAAGUAUUGCCAGUUCACUGCCUUACUAAGUGUUCUUCCAUGACUCCCUUGCUUGUGUUCUUUGGACUCACGUUUUUGGAUUACUGUUUUGGAUUUGUCUGCCAUUGGAUUGUUUUGCCCGUGUUUCGACCAAAGCCUGUGACUGACUACGAGUUGUGACUGUUGUUUGGAUUUUAUGUUCAGAUCCCUCA
This is a long non-coding RNA of Megalobrama amblycephala (Wuchang bream), 948 nucleotides long. RefSeq lists it as uncharacterized. Lineage: Eukaryota; Metazoa; Chordata; Actinopteri; Cypriniformes; Xenocyprididae. The transcript is spliced from 3 exons. The record is from RefSeq and is a predicted model, not a curated record.